AAAAAGCCCGCUCGCCGGAAGACCAAGGGUUCCUGUCCAACGUUAAUCGGGGCAGGGUGAGUCGACCCCUAAGGCGAGGCCGAAAGGCGUAGUCGAUGGGAAACAGGUUAAUAUUCCUGUACUUGGUGUUACUGCGAAGGGGGGACGGAGAAGGCUAUGUUGGCCGGGCGACGGUUGUCCCGGUUUAAGCGUGUAGGCUGGUUUUCCAGGCAAAUCCGGAAAAUCAAGGCUGAGGCGUGAUGACGAGGCACUACGGUGCUGAAGCAACAAAUGCCCUGCUUCCAGGAAAAGCCUCUAAGCAUCAGGUAACAUCAAAUCGUACCCCAAACCGACACAGGUGGUCAGGUAGAGAAUACCAAGGCGCUUGAGAGAACUCGGGUGAAGGAACUAGGCAAAAUGGUGCCGUAACUUCGGGAGAAGGCACGCUGAUAUGUAGGUGAAGCGACUUGCUCGUGGAGCUGAAAUCAGUCGAAGAUACCAGCUGGCUGCAACUGUUUAUUAAAAACACAGCACUGUGCAAACACGAAAGUGGACGUAUACGGUGUGACGCCUCCCCGGUGCCGGAAGGUUGAUUGAUGGGGUUAGCCGCAAGGCGAAGCUCUUGAUCGAAGCCCCGGUAAACGGCGGCCGUAACAAUAACGGUCCUAAGGUAGCGAAAUUCCUUGUCGGGUAAGUUCCGACCUGCACGAAUGGCGUAAUGAUGGCCAGGCUGUCUCCACCCGAGACUCAGUGAAAUUGAACUCGCUGUGAAGAUGCAGUGUACCCGCGGCAAGACGGAAAGACCCCGUGAACCUUUACUAUAGCUUGACACUGAACAUUGAGCCUUGAUGUGUAGGAUAGGUGGGAGGCUUUGAAGUGUGGACGCCAGUCUGCAUGGAGCCGACCUUGAAAUACCACCCUUUAAUGUUUGAUGUUCUAACGUUGACCCGUAAUCCGGGUUGCGGACAGUGUCUGGUGGGUAGUUUGACUGGGGCGGUCUCCUCCUAAAGAGUAACGGAGGAGCACGAAGGUUGGCUAAUCCUGGUCGGACAUCAGGAGGUUAGUGCAAUGGCAUAAGCCAGCUUGACUGCGAGCGUGACGGCGCGAGCAGGUGCGAAAGCAGGUCAUAGUGAUCCGGUGGUUCUGAAUGGAAGGGCCAUCGCUCAACGGAUAAAAGGUACUCCGGGGAUAACAGGCUGAUACCGCCCAAGAGUUCAUAUCGACGGCGGUGUUUGGCACCUCGAUGUCGGCUCAUCACAUCCUGGGGCUGAAGUAGGUCCCAAGGGUAUGGCUGUUCGCCAUUUAAAGUGGUACGCGAGCUGGGUUUAGAACGUCGUGAGACAGUUCGGUCCCUAUCUGCCGUGGGCGCUGGAGAACUGAGGGGGGCUGCUCCUAGUACGAGAGGACCGGAGUGGACGCAUCACUGGUGUUCGGGUUGUCAUGCCAAUGGCACUGCCCGGUAGCUAAAUGCGGAAGAGAUAAGUGCUGAAAGCAUCUAAGCACGAAACUUGCCCCGAGAUGAGUUCUCCCUGACUCCUUGAGAGUCCUGAAGGAACGUUGAAGACGUCGACGUUGAUAGGCCGGGUGUGUAAGCGCAGCGAUGCG
RNAcentral lists this ribosomal RNA (1584 nucleotides) under metagenome. RNAcentral's name for it is "bacterial LSU rRNA". It matches the Rfam family "Bacterial large subunit ribosomal RNA", at positions 1323 to 2885 of the family's 2925-position model. The record is from RNAcentral.